Molecule: ribosomal RNA, 548 nt
Filed under: uncultured delta proteobacterium
Lineage: Bacteria; Deltaproteobacteria
Description: bacterial SSU rRNA
Rfam family: Bacterial small subunit ribosomal RNA
Source: RNAcentral
GGCGGACGGGUGAGUAACACGUAGGUAACCUGCCUCUUAGUGGGGGACAACGGUCCGAAAGGACCGCUAAUACCGCAUACGUCUCCUGGGGCUUCGGCCCUGGGAGGGAAAGCUGGGCAACUGGCGCUAAGAGAGGGGCCUGCGUCGCAUCAGCUAGUUGGUGGGGUAACGGCCUACCAAGGCGAAGACGCGUAGCUGGUCUGAGAGGAUGAUCAGCCACACUGGGACUGAGACACGGCCCAGACUCCUACGGGAGGCAGCAGUGGGGAAUAUUGGACAAUGGGGGAAACCCUGAUCCAGCCACGCCGCGUGAGUGAUGAAGGCCUUCGGGUCGUAAAGCUCUGUGGGGAGGGACGAACGUCCCGGCGUAGAGCCGGGGGUGACGGUACCUCCUUAGCAAGCACCGGCUAACUUCGUGCCAGCAGCCGCGGUAAUACGAAGGGUGCAAACGUUGCUCGGAAUCAUUGGGCGUAAAGCGCACGUAGGCGGCCCCGCAAGUCGGAUGUGAAAUCCCUCGGCUCAACCGAGGACGUGCAUCCGAAACUGCA